Long non-coding RNA from Syngnathoides biaculeatus (alligator pipefish), 16648 nucleotides. RefSeq lists it as uncharacterized. The transcript has 6 exons. NCBI's taxonomy places the organism in Eukaryota, Metazoa, Chordata, Actinopteri, Syngnathiformes, Syngnathidae. The record is from RefSeq and is a predicted model, not a curated record.
GCACCCCUCAGACGUUCCCAAGACAGCUGUAAUCACUCCGUUUGGACUGUUCAAGUUUCUGAGGAUGCCGUUUGGUCUUAAAAACGUGGCACAAUCUUUCCAGCCUUUAAUGGAUUCUGUGCUCAGUGACUUGCCAUUUGUGUUCGUCUAUUUGGAUGACAUCCUCGUCGCCAGCUCCUCGGAGGAUGAACAUCUGAUGCACCUCCGCGACCUCUUCGCAAGACUUGAGCAGCAUGGCCUCAUCAUCAACCCGGCGAAGUGUGUUUUCGGGGUGCCCUCUAUCCAGUUCCUCGGGCACCUCAUAGAAAAGAACGGCGCCGCCCCCCUUCCGGCAAAGGUGGAGGCCGUCUCCGCUUUUCCCCAACCUCGCUCGGCUCGGGGCCUCCGGGAGUUCCUGGGGAUGGUGACUUUCUACCACCGGUUCAUCCGCCGGGCGGCCCACAUCAUGCGCCCGCUCUAUGAGGCUCUUAAAGGCAAGGUCCCCAACCGUGACGUUGAAUGGACAGCCGAGAGAAUGGAAGCCUUCGAGGCUACGAAGGCCGCGGUGAGUUGUGCCGCUAUGCUGGCCCACCCGACCCACGAGGCCCCUGUCGCUCUCACUACCGACGCAUCGGACUACACUGUUGGAGCCGUAUUCUAACAGUGGGUCGGCGGCGCCUGGCAACCGCUUGCCUUUUUCAGCCGUCAGCUGGUCUCUAGGGAGCGCAAAUACAGCACGUUUGAUAGAGCUCCUCGGCCUCUGGGUGGCGAUCCGCCACUUCCGCCCCCUAUUGGAAGGCCGUGAGUUCACGGCAUAUGUGCACCAUAAACCCCUCACUUUCGCCAUGUCCAUGGUGGCCGAGCCGUGGUCCGCCCACCAGCAACGCCAACUGUCGUUCAUCUCUGAGUACACUACGGACAUCCAACACAUUGCCGGCAAAUCCAAUGUGGUCGCGGACUGCCUCUCCAGGGCGAUCGUCGGCACUGUGCAUCUGGGUCUCGACUACUCCCGCAUGAGCGCAGACCAGGCCUCUGACCACGGGGUGCAGGCCCUCAAGACUUCUGACAUGGGUUUGCGCCUGGAGGAAGUCGCGGUUGGUGACUCGGGCGUCAGGUUGCUGUGCGACCUGUCGACUGACCAGCCUCGGCCGCUGGUCCCUGCAAACUGGCGGCGAGCUGUUUUCGAUGCGGUCCACAACCUCUCCCACCCGGAAGGAAACCGUCCGUGAGGCUGGUGGCCCAGAAGUUCGUGUGGCGCGGUCUUAAGAAAGAUGUGCAGGCCUGGGUCGACUCGUGCGUGGCCUGUCAGCGGGCUAAGGUGCAUCGCCACACAAAAGCCCCCUUGGAGCCCUUCGCUGUCCCCGAGAGGAGGUUUGACCAUGUCAACGUCGACUUGGUAGGUCCACUUCCUCCCUCGCACAGUUUCACCUACUUGCUCACCAUGGUGGACAGGACGACCCGCUGGCCCGAAGCCGUUCCCCUCUCCUCGACAACGUCGUCAGACGUGGCCCGGGCGUUCAUCGGCACGUGGGUUGCGCGCUUCAGGACCCCGUGCGACCUUUCCUCCAACCGUGGCCCUCAGUUUACCUCUGAACUCUGGAACGCAGUCGCUGAGAGUUUGGGGGUCAAGCUGCACCGCACUACCGCCUAUCACCCCCAGGUGAACGGUCUCUGCAAGCGGUUCCACCGCUCCAUGAAAGCAGCCCUGCGUGCCGGCUUGACUGACGGCAACUGAUUGGAUAAGCUCCCGUGGGUCAUGCUGGGCCUCAGGUGCGCCUCCAAGGAGGACCUGUUGUCCUCAUCCGCCGAACUCGUAUACGGCCAGCCACUGCGGGUCCCCAGCGAAUUCAUCCCGGACGCCACAGCGCCCUGGUCCGCAGCCAGGCAACGGUCCUCCCUGCUGGAGGCCGCAAAAGGGUUUGCGCCGGUUCCCACGUCGCAACAUGUCACCCCAGCUGCCCGGCUGCCCCGUCACCUGCGCUCUGCGGAUUUUGUGUUUGUUCGUCAUGACGCCCACCGUGGACCUCUGCGCCCCCCAUACGACGCGCCGUUCAGGGUCCUGGAGCACGGGGAUAAGAGCCUGCUCGUGGACAUUGGCGGCAGACCCGAGACUGUUUCCGUGGACAGGGUCAAACCCGCGCACCUGGACAUUGCCCAUCCUUUGGGGUUGGCUCUCCCCCCGCGCCCGGGUCGUCCCCCUUUGCCCUGUGCCCCUGCGCCUGCCGGGGUGCCCUUGACCCCACCUGGGCCCUUGUCCCGUGACUCAAUGGACAGUGCGGCCCCGCCCCCCUCGGGCCCUACAGUGCACACCCGCCGGGGUCAGGUCGUCAUCCCUCCACAGCACGAGGAUUUUGACUAUGGGUGAAUUCUGGGGGGGCUUGUGUGGUGUUUACAUAAUUCACCCGCGGGACCUCGAGUUGGGGUGCGGGAUUCCGCACGGAUUGUUAUUGUUGUUGCGCUUCCGGAGUGAAAGGUUAUCAGAGUUCCCGCCGUUAUGCGAGUAGUGUUUCGAUGUUGAGCAAUAAAACAAGUUUUGUUCCUCUGUCCGACACUCCGCCUACGACUCCUUUUCUCCGGCGCUACAAUACAAAUAUUUACCCAAACUUCAUCAGUGGAUAAGCAAGAAAACACAUUUUCUGUGAAAUUUUUGAUUAAUUUCAUAAUACAGAACUCUGCAAAUUGAAUUUGAUUUUGAAAUGCAAGGAAACAAGUUAAAAUUUUCUGUCUGAAAUAGGACAUCGCAGAGACAAGAAAUGUGUUUAGAAUGUAUUUUCCCAUUGCGAGUCCUUAUUUCCAAAAAUAUAUAUAACUGAUUAACUUGAAAUUUAAUAUUUUUAUGACAAAAAAUGCUUAGUUUUUUGCUGUUAUAAUGAUAGUGCUUCACAGCGUAUUUUGGGAAAAGUUAACAUAUCACGGAAAUCGGGCCCUUGGUAAUAUGCAAGGUUUCUCGGUGGUCACGGUGUUCUUUGGCUUCCCUUUGCACUUAGCCUUUUUUGUCUUACUAAGUCGAUUUAAAAAUCCUUCAUGUUACCAGAACCGAAAAAAUGUCAGGCUCAUCUGACCCAUUUAAUUCUACAUGCCAAACAUUGACAAAUCCGCCACCAUAAUCCAACCUGUAAACCCUGUCCUUGGGAGUACCAAGACGGCAGCCAACUGUUUUCAACCAAUCGACACACUGCUCAAUGUGUAUGCACUAACCAGUCUUUUUUUACGUCACUGCCACCAACCACUGAUCUAAAUAAGACUGGAUAGCUUAUUGGCCACCGUAGCUGAAGUCGCCGGAAGCAGAUAUGCGCCAAUUUGAUAGUCCCGAAACAACCAUGCCUAUCUGUGUAGGGAUUCACCGCUUUAAUCUCCAGUUUCGUGGCUGUGAAUAUGUAUUUACAUAUUCAGUGUUAACACUUGGGACUGUCUGUGAAAAUAUAUUUCUAAAUAAAACAUACAUGGAUGUCCCUUAAAGCCGAUCUUACUGAUAUGUUUUGAAGUUAAAUUCCAGAUCAUGCUUGAGUAUGUUGGGUUGAGUGGCAGCAAGCAUCCAGAUUUCACUUUUUGAAGGUAACUUCUUUCUUUUCCUGUUCACUUUUGAAAAAUCUUGACAUCGGGUCAGGAAACAUACAGUAAACUCUGCAUAACUCGACAUUGUGGUGGUCUACAUAAUUCACCUACGGGACCUCGUGUUACGAGGUUCUGCACGGACGUUUUUGUUGGUUACACUUCCGGUCUGUUACUGUAUGUCAUUAAAACGAGGUUCGUUUCUGUGUUCGACACUCCACCUCCAACUCCUUUUCUUCGGCGCUACAACACUGUUUAGGACCACAACUUUUGUGAAGACUAUUUUACUUUUAUUUUACUUUCAUUAUUUGCUUAAAUAUGACCUUAUACAUUUAAUCAACAGAUGAAGUGUUGCCCAUUUGCUAAUCAGACAAGGAUGUGUUGUGGAGCCGGUGGUUGUCCUUGAUCUUUGUACGCAGAAAACCGGCUGGUGGCAUCCUCCUCUCCCAAGUGUUGCCGUGGAGACGAAUGACACCAGAUUAAGGAGCGGAACGUUACCAUCCGACCCAGGACCAGACUGCGUGGGGGGCAGCCACUUCUACCAUGGAGCCAUACAUAUAAAAACCUUGUGUUACUGGGCAGCUGUCUUCUUCUUUGGCUAUCCUGGCAGAAGACACAUCUCGUGUGCGGCAGAUACCUAGAUAAGACCUGGACGUCUGUAUUGAACAUUCCUUUGUGAUAAAUCCAUUUGCUGUUAACUUUUUCUAAUCAUUGGUCAUAUCUUCCUCGAUUCGUGAACAGGCGUAGGGUCCAAACUCGCAGAUCCCUACAAUAGAGAAAUGUUGACUUACACGUAACCUUUUCAGUAGUAUUAUUGGAGACUGGGACCUCACUUUUAAUGUUGACUUACGGUAUAUGUCAUCUUAUACAGUGUCAUGUCAUGCAGGGUUUACUGUAUUUUCAUUCCAUGUCUUUCUGCCGACAGUACCAACAGGCUACUGAAACCAAUAAUUUCCAUGAAAUCUGAAUUGUGGCUCAGGAAAGGUGGUCUGUCAGUAACUUGGGGAUCGUUUCGGCUCGAACCACGUUUCGACCUAUUAUUGGGCUCAGUGAAUGAUUGAAUGGCUCGUGUUUAAUGUCCUACUUAACAGUAUUUCAGUUAUAUGAGAACAGUACCUACGUGUUGCAGGAUUCAUUUCUACAGCUGUUGUCUUAUGUUGCCUCACAGAGGUCAUUUGCCAGAGACACAGUAUGACCAUCCCGCUGACACUCACAUAUGAUAAUACUGACACACUGCCAACCAGUUGCCUUUUUGAUGCCAAUUACUGAACUUUAAGUGAAACAGUGGCAGCUAUGACUCUUAUUUUUGGUUUGACGACCCAGACUCAAACCUUGUCUACCAGUGUUUUGGGUGGUUUUAGCUCAUACCGCAUUUAUACUUGUACCAAUCAUUGAAUAAUUGGUGUUUAAUAUCUUGCAUUACAGUAUUUUAGUCCUUUGAUGCUGAUUUCCAUUGCUCUUUAUCUCGUACUGCCUCAUUGAGACAACGAGCCAAAGACACCCAACAAGCCCCCUCACCCGUCACAUUCGAGGCCUACAAACAAUGGGCGAACCUGUGGCUGCUCUAACUCCUAUUGCUGAGUGCCACACGAGACAGAGUUUCCGCUGUUACAUGUAGUUUUGUGUCAGAUUCGACCCAGAUUUUAAACCUGGAUCUCCCAGCCUAGAAGCAGAUGCUUUACAGGCUCUAUCAUUUCUAUUUACACCGAUAACAAAUGUAAGCCACAGCUGUGCAAGCUAUGCUUUAGAGGAUGGCUUUUAUCUGAGUCCUAUUUGUAAUUAAUUCACGGGACUAGCAUCUGGAGUUUUGCUGCAAACUCACUUCCUGCUUUGAAGUGCUGAAAUUGUGUGGAUAUACAAAUGGGGAGUGGGGGUAAUCCCAUAAAUUUGGUCUCCCAUCCUGGGGCCUCCCUGGUUUAAUCAAUUUAUAUCUGUCAGAAAUUUUGUCCACACUCUUGGAUGAAAUGCUUUUAUUUCAUAUAGUGCUUCACAGCGUAUUUUGGGAAAAGUUAACAUUGGGGAAAUCGGGCCCUAGGUAAUAUGCGAGGUUUAUUGGUAGUCAUGGUGUUAUAUGGCUUUCCUUUGCACUCAGCCUUUUUGGGCUUACCAAGUCGAAUUAAAAAUCCUUCAUGUUACCAGAACUGAAAACAUGUCAAACUCAUGUGACCAUUAUUGAUAAAAACCCCGCCAUAAUGCAACAUGUAAACCAUGUCCUCCACACGUUUUUGGAGUACCAAGAUGGCGACCAACUGGCUUCAACCAAUCGACACACUGCUAUAUAGUAAGUUUCUUUCGGCUUGUCCCUUUCGGGGUCGCCACAGCGUGUCUCCUCAGAUGAACACACAUAUAUGUUUGGCACAAUUUUUACGCCGGAUGCCCUUCCUGAUGCAUGAGCUAUCCAGUCUUUUUUUUUUUUUUUUUUUUUUUUUUUUUUGAGCACGUUAACACAGAACAGUACAGGUGCUACAUUCCUCCCCUCCAAAAUAAAUGUUGUCCUCAACAUGAGUACUUCGAUAUCUGGUAUACAGCAUGGACUAAACAAAUGUAGUAAUUAUCAUAUGCUUUCCAUAUACAUUGUUUCAAAACCAUGACUGAAAUUUUGCCAUUUUGCAUUUAAUCCAAAUAUUCUAAUGGUAUUCCAACCACGUAAUAGUAUUCAGUCACGUAGAAAACAUAUUCCCACCGACCAAACGUCUAAAUCUAAAUUAAAAAAAAUGUAAAAAGCACAUGACAGAAUUUUUUUUUUUUAACCAGUCUCUGUUACUCUUCUCAAACGUCAGAAAAUUAUCCGAAACGGUACAUAACAGAUUUGUUGACAGUCUUGUACCACUUUAUUCACACAGUCACUCCAGUUUCCCUCUCUCAUCAUCCAAGGUCCUCAAUAUUGGCAACAAAGUACAAUUAAAUCUUUCGACUGGGUUUCCCUGUGGUUGGUAAGGAGUGGUUCUUGAGUUGGCAAUGCCGCUGAUAUUUUGUAAUUGCCUCAACAACUGAUUCUCAAAUUCUUUGCCAUGAUCGUGGUGUUCUCUUGCAGGAAAAACAAAUUUUAAAGCAAAAUCAAAAAUCUUUGUCGCAGCAGUUUUGCCUGAAUUGUUACGGGUUGUGUAGGCUUGUGCAAACUUUAUGAAGUUAUCACUUGUUUCUUGUGCCACUGUCUCUAACCAUACAUCAUGCCCUCACGACUGUUUUAUAAACUUUGCCCUUCAUCCUUGCAGAGAUUCUUCUGUCACAUAACACACCAGACACAUUCCGCUUGCUCUUCCUAUCUGCUUGGACCGGUUUCUUCACUUCCUUACCACACUCACCAUUGCUCUGGAUUGUUGACCCCCAAGUAUUUGAAGUCGUCCACCCUUGCUAUCUCUUCCCUCUGUAGCCUCUCUCCUCCCCCUCCACCCCUCUAAUUCACACACAUAUGUUACAAAUACACGUUUUACUUCGGCAUCCGACUUAAGUUGCAAUUCGAGUUAAGUUGCUUCUGUAGGAACGGAUCUCAGUCAUAGACCAAGAAAUUUUAUAUUUUACCUGUAUUCCAGGUUCUUGUGGUUUGUUCACAUAAUAAAUGGGUGUUUGGCACCCACUAGGUAAUGCCUGCAAUGCCUUCUUCACACCCAAAAGUUUCCAGUUUCCGAUCCCGUAAUUCCUCUCUGCGUGGGACUAUUUGUACACGGGUGAACCUUACCAUCGGUCUGGGCAUAUUGAGACAACACAGCACCAACCCUGCUUCUGAUGCAUCGACCUUGACGAUGAACUGCCGUUUUGGAUCCACAUGAACAAGAAUAGAAGCAGAGGAGAAAAGUUUCUGAAGAUCACCAAAAGCUAUGUCGACCUUCUCUGUCCAUUGAAAGCUGCUAGGGUUGGGGUGAGCGCAGUGAGAGGUUCUAGGUGCUACUACCUGACUGUAGUUCCGUAUGAACCACUGGUAGAAUUUAGCGAAGCUGAGGAACCGCUGCAGCGCUUUUCUUGAGGCUGGUCUAAGCCAAUUGGUGACCACGGCCAGCAUGGCUGGGUCCAUUUGCAGCUGCCCUGCUGUAAUAACAUACCCCAAAAAGGUGGUCUUAAAUCAUGGAACUCACAUUUUUCAGUUUUGACAAAGAUUUUAUUUAAAAGGAGUCUCUGGAGUACUUGGCACAGGUGUCAAACAUGAUGUGCAUCAGAUUGAGAUGUCAUCAAGGUAAACAAAAGCAAAUUUCCCAAUUAUGUCACACAGGACCUCAUCAACGAGUGCCUGGAAAACAGCAGAGGUGUUGUUCAAGAUGAAAGGCAUGACAAGGUACUUGUAGUGCCCUUUGUGGAUGUUAAAAGCUGUCUUCCACUCGUCACCUUCCUGAAUGAAGACCAGGUGGUAGGCUUGGCACAGAUCCAACCUGGUAAAAGUUGUCGGACCAUGAAGGGGGGGAAAAGGCUGAGUCUGUCUGGGGCAAAGGGUAAUUCCACUUAAUAGUAAUCUUAUUAAAAUCACAAUAAUCCACACAUGGAUUGAGUCUCUGGUGUUGUACACAAAAAUAAAAAUCCUGCCCCCACCAGUGAUGAGGAAGGCCGAAUAAUAUCUACGGCCAAUGACUUAUUGAUGUAGGUCUUUAUGGCCUCCCGCUCGUGACAAGACAUGUCAUAAAGGCGGCCACUAGGUAACAGGGCACUAGGCUGUAGGGUUAUAGUGCAAUCAUAUGGUCUGUGGGGGGUAAAGCAAAACGAAGCAAAGCAAAUUUAUUUGUAUGGCACAAUUCAUACACAAGGUGACUCAGUGCAACUAACAUUAUUAAAAGGAUUCAAAUACAAAAAUAAAAACACUUGAAAAUAAAAAGUACAAUUAAAACAGCUUUGAACCAGUAAUCCCUCUCUAUUGCACCUUUUGCGGCUUCAGUGCAUCACGUCUCCCCCCCAUUCCAAAAAAAAAAAUACAAAAAACAUCGGCAUCCACCACUGAGUGUAUUACAGCAAGACGCAUUGAUACAAGUUAAGUGAUGGUCCCCAGCGCGACAUCCAUCCCUGAGUUCAAUUUAAAAAAAAAAAAAAAAAAAAAAAGCUAGAUCGGCAUGCGGUACUGUUUUACGGGAAGACGCGUUGAUACAAGGCAAGUGAUUGGUACUCGGCGUAACAUCGACCAAUAAGAGCAUGUGUGGAUUUAUCUUGUGAGUGGAUUGGCUGUGCAUCAUCAAAGACCCACCCACCAAUUCUCCCUCCCUCCCAUCCUCCCUCUCUCCCUUGUCCUUCCUUUCCGCCAUUUUCUACGCUGUUGACUGUGUGCGCGAUAAUCUUGUGUUUACAAUGCCCCCGAAGCGCUGUUUUGAUGCAAACUCUUCCACCCAACAAGAAGAGGAAGAUAAUGAUGAUCAGCAAAAAAUUAAAACUUUUGGAAAAGAUCAAAGACAGCAGAAGUUAUGCUUUUGUGGCGCCAUUAUGACGUGAAUGAAUCAGUGCUGCGCUACAUAAAGGAUGUGGUAAACAUCCAUAAAACCGCUUCAAUAACUUUUAAUAAGGAAGCAAAAUGUGUAAUGAUGAAGAGGCUGAAGAAAGUGCUGACAAACCUCAUGCUGCAAUGAGGGAUUCACCCCUUCAAGGACAAGCCUUUUUGGCAAGCAAAGGUUGGUUUGAAAAAUUUCAAAAGCGUUAUGCCCUCAAAAGGUACAAUAUGGUACGAGCUGUCGAGAUUAGCAAUUGUUUUGACGGGGUUAUGUCUUUAUACAUGGUGUUGGAUUAAAUUGAUUAAUUGUACAUAAAAUUAUCACAUAUUUGCCCUCUUGUUUUGCUUUUAAUGCUGCUUUGCUCUGCUUAAUAUGCUUGAACAAUAUGAUGCAACAAAGAGGGGCAUUACGUUGCGUGUGAAAUAGCGCUCAACUGUGAGGAGACGUCAUUAGGGUAAGACGGAGAUGACAUCACCGGGGUGCGUUGGCAGCAUUUGGCGCACAACAACUCAGUGGAAAACUUGCCAGGAUUCACGUUUGCUUUGUUUGCCAUGGUAGUUUUGUUUUAUCAACUCAAGCUUACUUUGUCACGCUUGUGUAUGGUUGCUUUGUUUAUCACGUUUCCUGUUUUUGUUACGUUUUGGACCGCCGUAAAGAAAUAAAAGGGAAAAUUCCUUGAGAUGUGGUCAGAAUGGGCUGGAGAUGGUGGGAGAGACACACCGUGCAUCCUCCUCGCGAGCAAAUGUUCCUCUUGUCGCAGGAGGGGAUGUCACAACGAUUAGACGAAGGCAACAUCACAACGGUGAGACGGAAGCGACAUCACAACGGUGCGUCGGGAACAUUCUGUGCGCUACAGAAGAGAUCACUAGUUUGCUUUGUUUGUCACUAUCUGUACUGCAAUAAAAAUGUUUUAUUGUAAUUGUUCAACUAGACCAGUGGUCUAGUCAACCUGGGCCCGGACCCCCAGUGAGUCGUUCAAAAAGCUCCCGGACCCCCAAUAAUGUAGUGCUGGACACAGCUAUGCCAAGAAAUACUCAAUUUUUGUGGCUCAUGUGCUCUUGCUUUUUAUUUUUGUACAAUAAAUCAAAACGUGGUUCAACACUGGAAAGGACAAUUCUCACAUCAUGAUUAGCUUUCAGACGAUUUCGUUUUUUCGUCUUCACAUCAUGGACCCCCUGGAAAGACGUUUUUCACCCCCUGAGGUUCCUUGAUGUAAACCCACUUUGGGAACCACUGAACUAGACACUUGUACCGCUGUAAUUUUUGUUUCAAGUAUGUGAAUUACAAAUGCUGAACUCUUGCUGAAAUAUUCUGGUAACCCCCCCCCCCCCCACACACACACACACACAAACAUCAGCAGUGAUGUGAUAAAUGGUCACUAUCCAGUAAUAUAGUCAGUGUUUUAUAAUUUAUAGUCAUUCAGUCAUUUUCUUAACCACUUAUCCUCACAAGGGUUGUGGGAGUGCCAGAGCCAAUCCUAGCUGUCAUUGGGCAGGAGGCAGGGUACACCCUGAACUUGUUGCCAGCCAAUCACAGGGCACACGGAGACAGAGAACAGUCGCAUUCACAAUCACACGAUUUAGAGUGUCCAAUUAAUGUUGCAUGUUUUUGGGAUGUGUGAAGAAACUGGAGUGCCUGGAGAAAACCCACACAGGAACUCAACAGAGGCGAGGUUGGGAUCGAACCCUGGAUGUUAAAACUGUGAGGCCAACACUUUUACAGGCGAUCUCAAAUAUGCAAAGUACAAAUACUGUUUACUAAUUUAAACAUUCUGGUACCCACAUAAACAUAUAUGUCUGUCAUGGGUGUGUCUGUUCCCGAUGUGGCGCGCACCUGCUCUGAUGAGCAGAUGUGUUCACUUGCGUCUCGUUUUGGUGAUUAUGGUACAUGUAUAUAUUGCCACGUGAGCGGUCGCGUCCUUGUCAGAUUGUUGUACUACUUUGUCACAUUCCCGCAACCCUUUGCCUUUGUCCUACUCUGUGUACCGAACCCUGCCUUGUUAACGACCCUGCCUUCACGCCUACUGAUUUUGAUACUGCUGCUUUGUUUGGAUGGCCUGCUGGUGUUUUGACUUUGGACUGAAUAAAGACACUUCCGGAGUUGUACCUGGUCUCAUGAGUGCUGCAUUUUGGGUUCGUGUCCAGCUGACUCAGAUCGGGUGCGCAACGCCCUCCAGGCUCAAGGACGGCGUCUUGCUGAACACGACGAAAAUCUCCAGAUGGUUCCUCCCCAGUUGGAGCAGUUGAGUAACCAGUUGCGAGAGGUAUUUGCCCGGCUUAGUCCCCUGUCCGCAUCCUUCACCUGACAGAGCCAAGGUCAUGUUCGUCAUUUCCCACCUGAUAGGAUGCGCUGAAGAAUGGGCGACCACUGAGUGGAGCUGUGACGCGGACACGUGUCGGACAUGGGCGUCCUUCGUGAAGUGCAUGGCAAAAGUGUUCCGGUAUGCAUUCCUUGAACACAAAGCGACAAACUCCUUGAUCACGCUGCGGGAAGGCAAGAGCCGGGUCUCUGACUACGCCAUUGACUUCUGCAUUCUUGCAGCCAAAAGCCAGUGGAACAAUGGGGCACUCCUCGAUGCAUUCUUUCAAGAGCUGUCCCCCGCAGUAAAGGACCAGCUGAUCCUGCUGGACUUGCCAACAGACCUGGACCCACUCAUCGCUCUCACUUUAAAAAUAGACAAGAGACUCAUGGAUCGGGAGCAGGACAGCGCCUGGCGGAUGGACACACCUGCACAUAUCAGGGACGCCGACACUCCUCAAGGUACCUCUGUGGAGCCAAGUACGCACGUACAUGCCCCUCAUCCCAGGAAGCGGAGAGGGAAGAGACCGCUCAAACUCCGCAAGAUGACCCGGACCUAUCUUCAGUCCCCUCCUGUUACCAUGACGUGAGGGAAGUAUUUUCCAAGUGUAAGGCCAAGUCGUUUCCUCCUCACAGGCCAUACGACUGCGCCAUUGACCUGCUGCCUGGCUCCUCACCCCCUCACAGGAGACGAUAUUCUCUUUCAGAUCCGGAGCAUCAAGGCAUGAAAACAUACGUGGAGGAGUCGAUGGCUGCAGGACUGAUCCGGCCUUGUCGUCACCGGCCGUGGCAGGCUUCUUUUUCUUGGAAAAAAGGGCAAGACCCUGCGGCCCUGCAUCAAUUACCAAGGAAUGAACGACAUCACGAUAAAGAACAGACGACAUCCUGAUUUUCUACCCGGAUGAAAAAUCCCAUGUCAGGCACAAUCAUGCGAUGCUACAACCGUUAAUGCGUCACUACCUGUCUGUCAAGGCUGAAAAAUAAUCCAACUCGUCAGUGCUGUCUGCGUUGGUCGUUGUGAGGCGCUGCAAGGGAACCUGGGACCAAGCCCGACAGAUGCUACAACAUGAGGAACUCUCCUAUAAGGCCGUAAGAGGGCCCCAGCUCCAGUCUACAGGGUGGGUUAGCGAGUCUGGCUGUCUGCUAAGGGCCUCCCACCCAGAGUGGAAUCACGGAAGCUCGCUCCCAGAUCCACCUGACUUUUCACGUUAGCCUGCUCAAGCCUGCUCAAGUGUCCUUGUUGGUCCCACCUGCCAGGACCCCUCCUCUCCCCCAAAAUGGUGGACGGGGUUCCUGUCUACAUGGUUUGCUGGCUCCUGUUGUUGCACCGUCGAGGGAGAUGGAUGCAGUACCUGGUGGACUGGGAGGGCUACGGUCCCGGGGAGUGGUCGUGGGUUCCUUCCUGGUUCCUGGUCAACCCCUCGCUCAUGAGGGACUUCCAUGCAUCGCAUCCUGAGGCUCCUGGGCCUGGGCUGGGUUUGGGGUUGGGGGGCACUGUCAUGGGUGGAUCUGUCCCCGAUGCGCCGCACACCUGCUCCAAUGAGCAGAUGCACUCACCUGCAUCUCGUUUUGGUGAUUAUGGUCCAUGUAUAUAUUCCUAGGCGUGUGGUCUGGUCCUUGCCAUAUUGUUGUACUACUAUGUUAUGUUCCACCAACCCUUUGCCUAUGCCCUUGCCACUCUGUGUAUCGAACCCCGCCUUGUUAACAACCCUGCCUUCAUGCCUGCUGAUUUUGGUACUGCUGCUUCUUAGGGCUGCCUGCCGGUGUUUCAACCUUGGACUGAAUAAAGAUGCUUCCUGAACUGUACCUCGUCUAGUGAGUCUUGCAUUUUGGGUUCAGCCUUGUGUUCUGGUCUUGACAAUAUUCCCCACUAUUUCACGUUUUUUUUACUUUUCGUGGGUGAUUCUGGUCCCAAUUAACCGCAAAAAAAAAAAAAAAAAAAGAGGAUUUCUAUACUCCAAAACGUAUGAGAAAAAGGAAGAAUUUUUAAUCUGGAUUUGAAAACACUCACAGUUGGGGCUGACGCCACCUCCAUUGGCAACUUAAUCAAUUUCUCUGCAGAAUAAUAGCUAAAUGCUGCUUCACCAUGUUUCCUUUGAGUCAGUUGAUCUCAGCCCUAAGGGGUUUGUAUUCCAUGAGCAUUCCUUUCAUGUAUUCAGGACCUAAGCCAUUUAAUGAUUUAAAGACCAAUAUCAUAACUUUGAAAUUUAUUCCAAAGCCGAUUGGAAGCCAGUGUAAAGACAUUAGAAUUGGAGUUAUAUGCUCUGACCUCUUGUGAAAACAUUCAUUACUUUUAUAGUUAUCAUGGUUAAAACAUUUUCACGUUUUGUAGACAUUCACCCACUCAGAUGUGUGGUCGAGGCAGGAAAGCUGUCUGUUUUACACUUACUUAAGCAGAAGUGACUAUGCCGACUGUCAGAAACUGUUAGAAUAGUAGGAAACGAUCUAAGCAUUUUCUUGGUGCAAGAUGCAUCUGCACAUUGAAAGUUCCAUUGUGUUGCAUCCUGCUUUGUUUCAAUGAAGGCGGACGAGGGAUAGGAAGACCUCGACAGUCUUGGUGAGGUCACUCAGUGUGCGCUCAGCUGUCCAUCGCAAGCGGAAAAAGACAAUCUUGGUUGGUGUGAGUUCACUUCAAUACAGUCCGCAGGCUUGUUCAGGUGUUUAGAAGAAACUUGGGCCUUCAAGCCGGAAGACAACGUCUUCUCUUCGGUGGAUUAUCGACAACGACUGAACACAGUGCACCGUCCGAGUCUCCAGGAGACCCGGAAAGUCCUCCUUUCCAUGAGGGCAGUCCUCGAACAUCCUCCACUGGGAGAACACAAACAUCAUCCUACGAAUUGUAUAUGUCUCAACCAAAGGAGAAAUCGUCACAGGAGCUGAGUCGACGUCCAGGCAAAGACCGUGGACGAGGCACUUGAGACCCUUUCCGGAACUGGACCUCGACUUUGCGUCUGGAGGCUGAGGGUUGAUGAGAAGCCGAAGGAAGUAAAGGCAUCUCUGAGAGAGCUGGAGCCAAUCCCAGCUAACUUCGGGCAGCGGCAGACGACACCCCGAACUGGUCGCCAGCCAAUCGCAGUUCAGAUGUCGACACCAUCACUGAGCGCGAAUCGAUCCCAUGCUGCCUUCACUCAAAAUGUCCCUCUGAGGGAAACCCGAACUACAACGUGGCCCGCAAGAGAAAUGAGCUUGUCACCCCUGCACUACACCAUCAGAAAAAAAAAUGUAACAAGUUACUGUGCUAUAAUAACUAUUGCUGCCAUUUGUCUAUUCAUCCAAUGUAUGUUUAUGAAUUCACAUCUACUGUACAUGCAGUUUCAUCCGAACACUGGCAUAGACUGAUCAAGAGCUGAAUGACAUGGACAAAAUAGCAGAAAGAAACACGUGGAUACACCUUACACACUGUAAAAGGUCAUCUCAGCUGAGUCACCCAAGGGGAAAGGUGAGCAAAGACCAGCAUACGGUGGGUGCUGCCUACCACCAGAUAACGAGGCGCAAUCUCAUUUCAAAUAACUUUGGUAAACAACUGUGCGGGAGGCAUGAGGCAUGAGAGGAGGACUCCAUGUGUGCCUCCCAGUGAAUCAGUUCAGCACUUUUUCAAUUCCUUGGCAGAGUCUAAUUGCUGGGGAUUCCAUCUUUGGGCUUAUGCUAAAUGAAACCCCCACUUUCUUCUCACCAUUUGCCAAUUUAAUGCUACCUUAAACCCGCAUGUUAUACAAAAGAGUACGUAUACUAUGGAGGGAGUAUUUUAAGCGGAAAAACCCUGAGGAACAUUUUUUCAUUAUUAUGAUUAUCUUUUUUUUUUUACAAAUAGGAAACAAAACUGGUUGUUAUUAAUGUAGAAUGCAGCUAACAAGGUAAACUAUAGUUACAUCAUACGCAUGGGCCCUAGGCCACUAAUGCGUGUCAUUCCAAUAGAAAUCCCAACACAAUGUACCCUGGAGGUAAUGACUAAAACAACUCCCAACACCACUUGACAGAAAUGGAAAAGUGUUUAUCCAACAACUAAGGCAGUAAAGGAUAAACUGAUAUUUUCUACUAGUGUUGCAUUGGCUAAUUUCUCCUGUGUUAGCUUUACAGGGACAGAUUUUAAGGUGGGAAGUCUCAACAAAACAUGGUGUCAUGAUAUCCAUCUGCAAACUGCCCCACUGCUCCCACUGCUGACAUACAUUGAUGCAAAUGGCAUCCCAACUGCAUACCAGAUGAGUAUAAAUUGGUUAACGAGAUUGCUGCAGGAUGCGAAUCCAUCUUGUUAUGGAUAACUCUGAAUAAAAACGUUGACAGAAUCAACUACAUACAUAACAAUGUCCAGAAACUAGGUAAUUAUACGGAAGCAGGCUUUAUUGCCAUAAGGGAACAACCAGCUGCAACCUCACUCAUGACCUUCCAGAACCGCAUAGCGGUCGACAUGCUCCCGGCCGAGAAGGGUGGCGACUGCUCAAUGUUCGGUGACCAGUGUUGUUUAUUCCAAAUAUCACAGCACCUGAUGGGUAACGCACAAGGGCCAUUCAAGGCCUCCGCACCCUGAACCACAAGAUGAAGGAGCACUCUGGUGUAAACACAUCAGCCAGGUCUGAGUGGUGGGGGGAAAAAAAAAAAGUUUGGCAAAUCUAAAAAUUUGGUGUUCUCUGUCCUAGUUUCUAUCGCUGUUUGCAGCUAUUCUUGCAUUGUGUGGAUGUUGUUCUAUUCCCUGCAUAAAGGCAUCACUUAACCAACUUAUAACCACUGCUAUUGCCCCGACAAAUUCAAAAUUGGCACAAAUAUAUCCACUAUUGGCACAACAGGGUAAUGACAGUGAUAUUGUUGACCACGAUGAUGAUGUUAUGACUUCUCUUCCAGACCUGUUCUCUGAUCCAGAAGAUUACAAGUAAUUAGUGCUAUAUUUUCUUCCGGGUGUAAGCCGAAAGGGUGAUCAAUUAGAUGAUUUAAGGAUUUGAGCAAAUGUAGGAUAAACAGGAGGUUAAUGUAGAAAUAAUUCUAAAUAGUAUUAAGUAACUGUUUCUGCCUGCAAUGAAGAAAUGCUUUGCUCUGCUCCAAUUCAGUUACUGUUUCUGCCUGCAAUGAAGAGAUGCUUUGCUCUGCUCCAAUUCAGUUCCUGUUUCUGCCUGCAAUGAAGAAAUGCUUUGCUCUGCUCCAAUUCAGUUACUGUUUCUGCCUGCAAUGAAGAAAUGCUUUGCUCUGCUCCAAUUCAGUUACUGUCUCUGCCUGCAAUGAAGAAUGCUUUGCUCUGCUCUAGAAAACGUGGUAGCAAAUGUAGGAUAAACAGGGGGGAAAUGUAGGAAUAAUUGUGAUCAUAAUUAUCAUACAUUUGCUUCCAAUAAAGAAAUGCUUUGCUCUGCCCUAGAUAAUGUGGCAGCCUCCUAGCAGGAGAUAGCAAGAACAAAAACAUCUAAUCAUCAGAACUGUUAGAACUGCUGCCU